RNAcentral lists this transfer RNA (72 nucleotides) under Camelus bactrianus (Bactrian camel). It matches the Rfam family "tRNA". From Rfam's summary of the family: Transfer RNA (tRNA) molecules are approximately 80 nucleotides in length. Their secondary structure includes four short double-helical elements and three loops (D, anti-codon, and T loops). The record is from Rfam by way of RNAcentral. Lineage: Eukaryota; Metazoa; Chordata; Mammalia; Artiodactyla; Camelidae. RNAcentral also lists the same sequence under 2 other names.
GAGGGUAUAAUUCAGUGGUAGAGUGUGUGCCUAGCACGCACGAGGUCCUGGGUUCGAUCCCCAUUACCUCCA